GACGGUUUUCGACGACCACGUUCGGAUAUUGGGCGUAAGAGCUCGUAGGCGGUUUGUCGCGUCUGCUGUGAAAGACCGGGGCUCAACUCCGGUUCUGCAGUGGGUACGGGCAGACUAGAGUGCAGUAGGGGAGACUGGAAUUCCUGGUGUAGCGGUGAAAUGCGCAGAUAUCAGGAGGAACACCGAUGGCGAAGGCAGGUCUCUGGGCUGUAACUGACGCUGAGGAGCGAAAGCAUGGGGAGCGAACAGGAUUAGAUACCCUGGUAGUCCAUGCCGUAAACGUUGGGCACUAGGUGUGGGGGACAUUCCACGUUUUCCGCGCCGUAGCUAACGCAUUAAGUGCCCCGCCUGGGGAGUACGGCCGCAAGGCUAAAACUCAAAGGAAUUGACGGGGGCCCGCACAAGCGGCGGAGCAUGCGGAUUAAUUCGAUGCAACGCGAAGAACCUUACCAAGGCUUGACAUGAACCGGUAAUACCUGGAAACAGGUGCCCCGCUUGCGGUCGGUUUACAGGUGGUGCAUGGUUGUCGUCAGCUCGUGUCGUGAGAUGUUGGGUUAAGUCCCGCAACGAGCGCAACCCUCGUUCUAUGUUGCCAGCGGUUCGGCCGGGGACUCAUAGGAGACUGCCGGGGUCAACUCGGAGGAAGGUGGGGACGACGUCAAAUCAUCAUGCCCCUUAUGUCUUGGGCUUCACGCAUGCUACAAUGGCCGGUACAAAGGGUUGCGAUACUGUGAGGUGGAGCUAAUCCCAAAAAGCCGGUCUCAGUUCGGAUUGGGGGUCUGCAACUCGACCCCAUGAAGUCGGAGUCGCUAGUAAUCGCAGAUCAGCAACGCUGCGGUGAAUACGUUCCCGGGCCUUGUACACACCGCCCGUCAAGUCACGAAAGUUGGUAACACCCGAAGCCGGUGGCCUAACCCUUGUGGGGGGAGCCGUCGAAGGUGGGACCGGCGAUUGGGACUAAGUCGUACCAAGGUAAGCC
This 979-nucleotide ribosomal RNA is filed under the name Arthrobacter sp. RNAcentral's name for it is "bacterial SSU rRNA". It matches the Rfam family "Bacterial small subunit ribosomal RNA", at positions 524 to 1502 of the family's 1533-position model. The record is from RNAcentral. Lineage: Bacteria; Bacillati; Actinomycetota; Actinomycetes; Micrococcales; Micrococcaceae.